This 328-nucleotide ribosomal RNA is filed under the name uncultured Pseudomonadota bacterium. RNAcentral describes it as "bacterial SSU rRNA". It matches the Rfam family "Bacterial small subunit ribosomal RNA", at positions 30 to 351 of the family's 1533-position model. The record is from RNAcentral. Lineage: Bacteria; Pseudomonadati; Pseudomonadota.
AUUGAACGCUGGCGGCAUGCCUAACACAUGCAAGUCGAACGGUAGCAGGAGCUAGCUUGCUAGCUUGCUGACGAGUGGCGGACGGGUGAGUAAUGCGUAGGAAUCUGCCCUUAAGUGGGGGAUAGCCCGGAGAAAUCCGGAUUAAUACCGCAUGUGCUCUACGGAGCAAAGCGGGCCUCUGUUUCAAGCUCGCGCUUGAGGAUGAGCCUACGUCGGAUUAGCUAGUUGGUGGGGUAAAGGCCUACCAAGGCGACGAUCCGUAGCUGGUCUGAGAGGAUGACCAGCCACACUGGGACUGAGACACGGCCCAGACUCCUACGGGAGGCUG